GACGAACGCUGGCGGCGUGCCUAAUACAUGCAAGUAGAACGCUGAAGAGAGGAGCUUACUCUUCUUGGAUGAGUUGCGAACGGGUGAGUAACGCGUAGGUAACCUGCCUUGUAGCGGGGGAUAACUAUUGGAAACGAUAGCUAAUACCGCAUAACAAUGGAUGACACGUGUCAUUUAUUUGAAAGGGGCAAUUGCUCCACUACAAGAUGGACCUGCGUUGUAUUAGCUAGUAGGUGAGGUAAUGGCUCACCUAGGCGACGAUACAUAGCCGACCUGAGAGGGUGAUCGGCCACACUGGGACUGAGACACGGCCCAGACUCCUACGGGAGGCAGCAGUAGGGAAUCUUCGGCAAUGGGGGCAACCCUGACCGAGCAACGCCGCGUGAGUGAAGAAGGGUUUCGGAUCGUAAAGCUCUGUUGUAAGUCAAGAACGGGUGUGAGAGUGGAAAGUUCACACUGUGACGGUAGCUUACCAGAAAGGGACGGCUAACUACGUG
Molecule: ribosomal RNA, 497 nt
Filed under: uncultured bacterium
Lineage: Bacteria
Description: partial 16S ribosomal RNA
Rfam family: Bacterial small subunit ribosomal RNA
Source: RNAcentral